AUACCUUCCUAAGCCCGCCUGGUCUGGCCUGAACCCUGGUGUCACCUCUUUUCCAUCAUCUAUCCUCACAGUGUCCAAACGAAACCCCAAAACAUUCUCUUUAUGAGAUCCUUCGGCACAGUGUUGGAGAGCUUCAGACCAUGUACAGGAGAAACCAGGGAGGAAAGGCUGCCGUUCUCCCCAGUGGCCGCAGCCUUAAUUGGGAUGACGGUUAGUGUUGGCCCCUGUGUGUUGGAUGGAAAGCUUCAGGCUUGAGUGAACAGAUGUCUCUGGGAAGCAAAGGUGACAGACGUUUGUGCAGUUACUCAUCCCUAAAUAGGCCCGAGAGGACUGGAGUCUGAAUGAAAGAUGACCCGGGUGCACAACAGGAAGAGAUUGAUAGGAGGAUAAAAGCGGUGUAUAGGUUUUCAGGUACGCAAGUCUACGGGGAACCUCAUUCACACAUUAACAGGAUAUCCUGGGGGAAGUGAGAAACUACUGUGAAGGCACCCACCCUGAACACACAUGGGAAUCAUCACCAUCUGCAAUGAAGACAAACUGAUUAUCUUGUUAGACAGCCCUGCAGCCAUUCAGGGUAUGAUUAUGUAUUAAGAAACUACACGAAAAAAGACAGACACUCUUUUGGAAUAAUAAACACACCAGUGUCAACAUGUGAAUCAACUACACACAGCAUGUGCAUCAUGGACGAGUUUAAUGCAUAUUUAACAUACUGGGAGUGCUGUAUAUCAUUCACACAUCACUGGUCUUGAUGCUGGAUCACUAAAUGCUCCAUUGCUUCCUCUGUGGAAUGUUUCCUGGAAGAGACUUCUAGUAGAUAUAUACUCUGAGAAAAAAAAGCUUAAUCAUUUGAAAUGCAUGGCAAGUAGGGCUGCACAAUUUGAGGGGGAAAUGUAAAUGUGAUUUUUCUAAUUAAAAUGAUUGAGAUUUAAAAUGUGAUACAAAUAUUAAAAUAAGUAAUAAUACUAUUGUAAUGAAAAUGUCACUGUAAAAUACAAAAAGUUGAGUAUUAAAAACUGCAGGGAGGUUUAUGAUUGCUUCUUAUUAAAAAUCUGGUGAAAUGGAUGUUGUAAGUGACCCAAACUCAAAGCAGAUGCAGAGAUGGAGUUCAUAUGAGACACUAAAAACUCCAGAUAAUGGGCUGCAUGGAUGUAAAUGAACACAGUGCUAUGCUUGUAAAUAUGUAUUUAAAUAAAUUAAAAAACUGGGUUUAGGCUUUGUUUUUCUAUUGUAGGGUUGGCGAACGCCAGUCCUGGAGAGCCG
This is a long non-coding RNA of Cyprinus carpio (common carp), 1260 nucleotides long. RefSeq lists it as uncharacterized. The record is from RefSeq and is a predicted model, not a curated record. The transcript is spliced from 4 exons. Lineage: Eukaryota; Metazoa; Chordata; Actinopteri; Cypriniformes; Cyprinidae.